RNAcentral lists this ribosomal RNA (839 nucleotides) under uncultured bacterium. RNAcentral describes it as "bacterial SSU rRNA". It matches the Rfam family "Bacterial small subunit ribosomal RNA", at positions 605 to 1436 of the family's 1533-position model. The record is from RNAcentral.
UGGNUUAACUGGGGGCUUGCGGUGGGUACGGGCCGGCUUGAGUGCGGUAGGGGAGACUGGAGCUCCUGGUGUAGCGGUGGAAUGCGCAGAUAUCAGGAAGAACACCGGUGGCGAAGGCGGGUCUCUGGGCCGUUACUGACGCUGAGGAGCGAAAGCGUGGGGAGCGAACAGGAUUAGAUACCCUGGUAGUNCACGCCGUAAACGUUGGGCACUAGGUGUGGGGGGCCUUUUCCGGGUCUUCCGCGCCGUAGCUAACGCAUUAAGUGCCCCGCCUGGGGAGUACGGCCGCAAGGCUAAAACUCAAAGGAAUUGACGGGGGCCCGCACAAGCGGCGGAGCAUGCGGAUUAAUUCGAUGCAACGCGAAGAACCUUACCAAGGCUUGACAUGUGCCGGUCGGCUCCGGAGACGGGGUUUCCUCCUUGUGGGGCCGGUUCACAGGUGGUGCAUGGUUGUCGUCAGCUCGUGUCGUGAGAUGUUGGGUUAAGUCCCGCAACGAGCGCAACCCUUGUCCCGUGUUGCUAGCACGUUGUGGUGGGGACUCGCGGGAGACUGCCGGGGUCAACUCGGAGGAAGGUGGGGAAGACGUCAAAUCAUCAUGCCCCUUAUGUCUUGGGCUUCACGCAUGCUACAAUGGCCGGUACAGAGGGCUGCGAUACCGUGAGGUGGAGCGAAUCCCUUAAAGCCGGUCUCAGUUCGGAUCGGUGUCUGCAACUCGACACCGUGAAGUUGGAGUCGCUAGUAAUCGCAGAUCAGCAACGCUGCGGUGAAUACGUUCUCGGGCCUUGUACACACCGCCCGUCACGUCAUGAAAGUCGGCAACACCCGAAGCCCGUGGCCC